RNAcentral lists this ribosomal RNA (428 nucleotides) under uncultured bacterium. RNAcentral describes it as "partial 16S ribosomal RNA". It matches the Rfam family "Bacterial small subunit ribosomal RNA", at positions 354 to 796 of the family's 1533-position model. The record is from RNAcentral.
GUAGGGAAUAUUGGACAAUGGGGGCAACCCUGAUCCAGCGACGCCGCGUGAGUGAUGAAGGCCUUCGGGUCGUAAAGCUCUGUUGCAGGGGAAGAACACAUUGACGGUACCCUGUGAGGAAGGAUCGGCUAACUUCGUGCCAGCAGCCGCGGUAAGACGAGGGAUCCUAGCGUUGCUCGGAAUCAUUGGGCGUAAAGAGGGCGUAGGUGGCUUGGUAAGUCAGGUGUGAAAGCCCAGGGCUCAACCCUGGAAGUGCAUUUGAUACUGCUGAGCUUGAGUGUCGGAGAGGUUACCGGAAUACCUGGUGUAGUGGUGAAAUACGUAGAUAUCAGGUGGAACACCGGAGGCGAAGGCGGGUAACUGGACGAACACUGACACUGAGGCCCGAAAGCGUGGGGAUCAAACAGGAUUAGAAACCCCGGUAGUCC